This 599-nucleotide long non-coding RNA is filed under the name Nicotiana benthamiana. RNAcentral describes it as "long non-coding RNA (NBEN_LNC002416)". Lineage: Eukaryota; Viridiplantae; Streptophyta; Magnoliopsida; Solanales; Solanaceae. The record is from RNAcentral.
UAGCUAUUUGUCCGGAUGUAAUUCGUGAGAGCGAGAGGUAUGAAUAAAGGAGGAGAUGCAAAUGCUGGUUCUAAACGGCGGCAUUGAGUCCCAAUGUGGGACUCCUCACGGCUCCACAGGUCAUGCAAGACAAAGAAAAGCAAAGAGAAAAUAGGUUAAAGAGGAACAUCUGCCUCUUAACGAACACAUAAAAUAUAGGAGAAAGACAACAAAUAAAUCAUACUAACUUGUAUGAGAGCUAAUAUCUUUACAUGCCGUAGUAAUCGAAACAUAGGAGAAAGCUCUAACUUUGCUAGGAGAAAUUAGUUCUUAAUUAAUGUGACUUGAACUAACUAAAUAAAUUAAAAGGGACACAUCCUACACUAUUUUAAGUCAUUUUAUGUCGAUCAAAGAUGACAAUACCUAAAUCAAGUCUCAAAAGCACAAUCAUUAGGUUCUCAAAAUAAACGAGUAUUCCCAAUUAGUUAAAGAUUAUCUCAAACACGCAUUUUUUUAAAAAGAAAACUAGGGGUCGGCGUGAUAUCUAAGCCCUUAAAUAAAGAAAAAAAACCUAACAUCAUGUUUUCAUAUCUUUUUUAGCGGUGAAAGAAGUCAUAUUA